AGCAGCCGCGGUAAUUCCAGCUCCAAUAGCGUAUAUUAAAGUUGCUGCAGUUAAAAAGCUCGUAGUUGAAUUUCGGGACCAUCAUGUCGGUCGUGCCUCGGUACGUACUGGCAUUGUUGGUUUCUACCUUCUGACGAACCAUGAUGUCAUUUAUUUGGUGUCGUGGGAAAUCAGGACUGUUACUUUGAAAAAAUUAGAGUGUUUAAAGCAGGCUCACGCUUGAAUACAUUAGCAUGGAAUAAUGAAAUAGGACGUUUGAUUCUAUUUUGUUGGUUUCUAGGAUCGACGUAAUGAUUAAUAGGGAUAGUUGGGGGCAUUAGUAUUCAAUUGUCAGAGGUGAAAUUCUUGGAUUUUAUUGAAGACUAACUACUGCGAAAGCAUUUGCCAAGGAUGUUUUCAUUAAUCAAGAACGAAAGUUAGGGGAUCGAAGACGAUCAGGUACCGUCGUAG
Molecule: ribosomal RNA, 450 nt
Filed under: uncultured Glomeromycotina
Lineage: Eukaryota; Fungi; Glomeromycota
Description: SSU rRNA
Rfam family: Eukaryotic small subunit ribosomal RNA
Source: RNAcentral